GCUUAACACAUGCAAGUCGAGCGGUAAGGCCCUUCGGGGUACACGAGCGGCGAACGGGUGAGUAACACGUGGGUGAUCUGCCUUGCACUUCGGGAUAAGCCUGGGAAACCGGGUCUAAUACCGGAUAUGACCACGAGAUGCAUGUCUUGUGGUGGAAAGAUUUAUCGGUGCGAGAUGGGCCCGCGGCCUAUCAGCUUGUUGGUGAGGUAACGGCUCACCAAGGCGACGACGGGUAGCCGACCUGAGAGGGUGACCGGCCACACUGGGACUGAGACACGGCCCAGACUCCUACGGGAGGCAGCAGUGGGGAAUAUUGCACAAUGGGCGAAAGCCUGAUGCAGCGACGCCGCGUGCGGGAUGACGGCCUUCGGGUUGUAAACCGCUUUUGACAGGGACGAAGCGCAAGUGACUGUACCUGUAGAAUAAGGACCGGCCAACUACGUGCCAGCAGCCGCGGUAAUACGUAGGGUCCGAGCGUUGUCCGGAAUUACUGGGCGUAAAGAGCUUGUAGGCGGUUCGUCGCGUCGUUUGUGAAAACUUGGGGCUCAACCUUAAGCUUGCAGGCGAUACGGGCGGACUAGAGUACUUCAGGGGAGACUGGAAUUC
RNAcentral lists this ribosomal RNA (606 nucleotides) under Nocardia salmonicida. RNAcentral's name for it is "bacterial SSU rRNA". It matches the Rfam family "Bacterial small subunit ribosomal RNA", at positions 46 to 669 of the family's 1533-position model. Lineage: Bacteria; Bacillati; Actinomycetota; Actinomycetes; Mycobacteriales; Nocardiaceae. The record is from RNAcentral.